Rosa chinensis is the source of this 2787-nucleotide RNA transcript. It is a transcript of the gene named exocyst complex component SEC15B, with no coding region annotated. The transcript is spliced from 3 exons. NCBI's taxonomy places the organism in Eukaryota, Viridiplantae, Streptophyta, Magnoliopsida, Rosales, Rosaceae. The record is from RefSeq and is a predicted model, not a curated record.
CCACAACCCCCACGUUUCCAGUGGCAUUUCCGUCAAACAACAACUCCUCCAUAUCUUCCCCAGCUGUCCAAAUAACUACCCUCCCUCCAUCCCUCUCCCCCUAUUCUUCCUAAAUCCCCUCCGCCCGAGAUGGCCUACACUCCCACGAUGAGCUCCACUAAAUCCCGCCGUAAAGUGGCUCCGGCGGCCGCCGAUAAUGGCGACUCUGGCGAGAAACUCGACCAACUCCUCCUCUCCUCCGCCAUCUCCAACGGCGAGGACGUCGGCCCCUUCGUCCGCAAAGCCUUCGCCUCCGGGAAACCCGAGACCCUCCUCCUCCACCUCCGCCACUUCUCGCGCUCCAAAGAGUCCGAAAUCGAAGAGGUCUGCCGGGCCCACUACCAAGACUUCAUCCAAGCCGUCGACGACCUCCGAUCUCUCCUCUCCGACGUGGACUCCCUCAAGUCUUCUCUCUCCGAAUCCAACGCCAAGCUCCAGGCCGUCGGAUUGCCGCUGCUGACGUCACUCGACGCCUUCGUUGAAGCUCGAAACGUCUGCCGAAACGUCAACCUGGCGCUCCAAUCGGUCCGAAACUGUAUUCGGCUCAUGGAGCUCUGCUCCCGAUCCAACUACCACCUCUCCCGAGGCAACUUCUACAUGGCGCUCAAGUGUGUGGACACAAUCGAGUGCGUGUUCCUGGACAAAACGCCGUCGUCUACGAUUAAGCGGAUGCUGGAGAAGAAGAUUCCGGAGAUUCGGUGGCAAAUCGAGCGCAAGGUGAUGAAGGACUUCAACGAUUGGCUGGUGGAGAUCCGAGUGGUGUGCCGGAAUUUAGGUCAAUUGGCGAUCGGUCAAGCUUCGUCGGCCAGGCAAAGAGAGGAGGAUCUGAGAAUCAAGCAGCGCCAAGCUGAGGAGCAGAGCAGGCUCAGCCUUAGAGAUUGUGUCUACGCUUUGGAGGAGGAGGACGAAGAUCCGGUUGGAGAUGAUAGUAGCAAUGGCGAAGGGGUUGACUUGACUCCAUUGUACAGAGCCUAUCAUAUACACCAGACUCUGGGAGUUGAGGACCGGUUUAAGCAGUAUUACUUCGAAAAUCGCAAGCUUCAGCUCACUUCCGAUUUUCAGGUAUCUUCCAUGACUCCGUUUCUUGAGUCUCAUCAGACUUUCUUUGCGCAAAUCGCCGGGUUUUUUAUUGUGGAGGAUAGAGUUGUGAGGACCGGAGGUGGAUUGAUAUCGAAAUUGGAGGUUGAGAAUCUGUGGGAGACUGCUGUGAGUAAAAUGUGUUCAGUUUUAGAGGAUCAAUUUUCUAGGAUGCAGACUGCCAACCAUUUGUUGCUGAUUAAGGACUAUGUGAGCUUGUUAGGUGUGACUUUGCGGAGGUAUGGAUAUUUGGUUGAUCCUUUGCUUGAUGUGUUGAGCAAGCACAGGGAUAAGUACCAUGAGUUGCUAUUAUCGGAUUGUAGAAAGCAGAUUACGGAAGCGCUUUCUGCGGAUAAGUUUGAUCAGAUGUUGAUGAAGAAAGAGUAUGAGUAUUCCAUGAAUGUGCUUUCGUUUCAGUUACAGACUUCUGAUAUCACACCAGCUUUUCCUUAUGUUGCACCCUUUAGCUCUACGGUGCCUGAUUGUUGCCGCAUUGUGCGGUCUUUUAUUGAGGAUUCUGUGAGUUUCAUGUCCUAUGGUGGGCAGCUUGAUUUCUUUGAGGUUGUGAAGAAGUAUUUGGAUCGGCUAUUAAGUGAGGAUUUAGAUGGCGCCCUUGUGAAGCUUAUCAAUACAUCUGUCAGUGCGGUCUCCCCGGCAAUGCAGGUGGCUGCUAAUAUGGCUGUCAUGGAGAGAGCUUGUGAUUUCUUCUUCCGACAUGCUGCUCAGCUUUCUGGCAUUCCUUUGAGAAUGGUGGAGAGGGGCAGGAGGCAGUUUCCGCUAUGUAAAGCCCGCGAUGCUGCAGAAGACACUCUCUCAGGGUUGCUUAAACAAAAAGUUGAUGGGUUCAUGACACUGAUGGAGAGUGUGAACUGGAUGGCUGAUGAGACUCUGCAGAAUGGGAAUGAGUAUGUGAAUGAGCUGAUCAUAUAUUUGGAAACUCUGGUUUCCGCUGCACAGCAGAUAUUGCCACCAAAUGUUCUUAAACGAGUUAUACAAGAUGUUCUUUCUCAUAUAUCGGAGAAGAUAGUUGGGGCUUUACUUGGGGACUCAGUUAAGAGGUUUACUGUAAAUGCAAUUAUGAGCAUCGAUGUGGACAUUCGGGUAUUCGAAUCUUUUGCAGAUAAUCAAGCACCUUUACUGUCAGAGGAGGAUGCAAAUCAGUUGAAAUCGGCACUUGCUGAGUCAAGGCAGUUGGUUAAUUUACUCUUAAGCAACAAUCCAGAGACUUUUCUUAAUCCUGUAAUCAGGGAGAGGAGUUAUAAUAACUUGGAUUAUAGAAAAGUAGUGAUUAUUUCAGAAAAAUUGAGAGAUCCUUCAGAGCGGCUAUUUGGAACUUUUGGAAGCAGGGGAAGCAGGCAGAACCCAAAGAAGAAAUCUCUAGAUUUGUUGAUAAAAAGACUCAAGGAUAUGGCAUAAAACCUAUGGACGUGUGUUUUGACCAUUUAGAAGAUCCUGCAAAGGGUGAUAACCUUUUAAGUUACCUCAGGAAAACUAAUUGGCGUCCGGCCGUCUUCGUUCUCUCCUAAUGACCCCCAAUUGGCUGUAUUUGGCAAAUUCACAUCAGAACACUGAUUGAAUAAUAUUGAAUCUUCAGGAAUAAUUACCUAUAUGAUUAAUUGUCAGAAUAGGUGUGCUGGUUCGGGAUAGAGUUUCACAAUGCCUCUCAAUAAU